CCUUAGAGUUUGAUCCUGGCUCAGGACGAACGCUGGCGGCGCGCCUAACACAUGCAAGUCGAACGAGAGAUGAGGAGCUUGCUCUUCAGAUCGAGUGGCGAACGGGUGAGUAACGCGUGAGGAACCUGCCUCAAAGAGGGGGACAACAGUUGGAAACGACUGCUAAUACCGCAUAAGCCCACGGCUCGGCAUCGAGCAGAGGGAAAAGGAGCAAUCCGCUUUGAGAUGGCCUCGCGUCCGAUUAGCUAGUUGGUGAGGUAACGGCCCACCAAGGCGACGAUCGGUAGCCGGACUGAGAGGUUGAACGGCCACAUUGGGACUGAGACACGGCCCAGACUCCUACGGGAGGCAGCAGUGGGGAAUAUUGCACAAUGGGGGAAACCCUGAUGCAGCGACGCCGCGUGGAGGAAGAAGGUCUUCGGAUUGUAAACUCCUGUUGUUGAGGAAGAUAAUGACGGUACUCAACAAGGAAGUGACGGCUAACUACGUGCCAGCAGCCGCGGUAAAACGUAGGUCACAAGCGUUGUCCGGAAUUACUGGGUGUAAAGGGAGCGCAGGCGGGAGAACAAGUUGGAAGUGAAAUCCAUGGGCUCAACCCAUGAACUGCUUUCAAAACUGUUUUUCUUGAGUAGUGCAGAGGUAGGCGGAAUUCCCGGUGUAGCGGUGGAAUGCGUAGAUAUCGGGAGGAACACCAGUGGCGAAGGCGGCCUACUGGGCACCAACUGACGCUGAGGCUCGAAAGUGUGGGUAGCAAACAGGAUUAGAUACCCUGGUAGUCCACACCGUAAACGAUGAUUACUAGGUGUUGGAGGAUUGACCCCUUCAGUGCCGCAGUUAACACAAUAAGUAAUCCACCUGGGGAGUACGACCGCAAGGUU
Molecule: ribosomal RNA, 878 nt
Filed under: uncultured bacterium
Lineage: Bacteria
Description: bacterial SSU rRNA
Rfam family: Bacterial small subunit ribosomal RNA
Source: RNAcentral